This 201-nucleotide non-coding RNA is filed under the name Gavia stellata (red-throated loon). RNAcentral's name for it is "Eukaryotic small subunit ribosomal RNA". It matches the Rfam family "Eukaryotic small subunit ribosomal RNA", at positions 52 to 550 of the family's 1831-position model. Lineage: Eukaryota; Metazoa; Chordata; Aves; Gaviiformes; Gaviidae. The record is from Rfam by way of RNAcentral.
UGCAUGUCUUAAAACACAAUCAAUGCAAAGUCUGCAAUGAAAGAAGGCUGAGCAACGGCUACUACAUCCAAGGAGGGCAGCAGGCGUGCAAACUACCCCCUCCUGACCCAGGGAGGUAGUGAUGAAAAAUAACAAUACAGGACUCUUUUAAGGCCCUGUAAUUGCAAUGAGAACACAUUAAAUCCUAGGAUCGUGCAUGUG